CAGCCGUAAACUAUGCGCGUUAGGUGUAUCGGUGACCACGAGUCACCGAGGUGCCGAAGGGAAACCGUGAAACGUGCCGCCUGGGAAGUACGGUCGCAAGGCUGAAACUUAAAGGAAUUGGCGGGGGAGCACCACAACGGGUCGGAGCCUGCGGUUUAAUUGGACUCAACGCCGGGAAGCUCACCGGAUAGGACAGCAGAAUGAUUGCCGGGCUGAAGACCCUGCAUGACUAGCUGAGAGGAGGUGCAUGGCGUAGAC
Molecule: ribosomal RNA, 258 nt
Filed under: uncultured archaeon
Lineage: Archaea
Description: partial 16S ribosomal RNA
Rfam family: Archaeal small subunit ribosomal RNA
Source: RNAcentral